Molecule: long non-coding RNA, 1393 nt
Organism: Amphiprion ocellaris (clown anemonefish)
Lineage: Eukaryota; Metazoa; Chordata; Actinopteri; Pomacentridae
Source: Ensembl
CUGUAAUCUUAACCUUAAGCACAGAGCAAACAUGCAUUUCUAUAGGGCUGAGGAUCCGUACACCGCCUCCUUUGAAGGGGAAAAUCUUUUAACUGUCAAACCCUGGGUAAACAGUCUGACAGAGCCACCGCCGCCAGUAGGAAACGAUAGCAGGAGAGUCCAAUUCAUCUUAGUUCAGGUCCACAUUCAGCCCAGUUUGAUCUCCAGUGAUCCAGACCAGUAAAAUCACAGCAGAAUAACCUAUAAAUAACCACAACUCCUAAUGUUUCCUUUGUUUUAGUGCAAAAAAUAUGGAAGCAAAUCAGACUCAUCAGAUUCUGAAUUUUAAAAGCUGCUGAAUUUCUUACUUUGAAUUUUUUUGUAUCAAAAUUACGUAUGUGAAUUUUUUAUGCCUGAAUUUAGCUCAUCAAAAUUCUAAAAACCAGUUAAAAAUUCAAUGUCUUCAAAAUUCGCCAUCAAAAAAAUUUGAUGUCUUCAAAAUUCACCAAAAAAUUUGUUGUUCACAUCCGGGGGACUCAGGCGUAAAAAAUCGAUCCUGGCCAAAAUCGAACCAACGCCCAGCCAAUCACGUGGCGCUCCUCCGGUCAUGUGACGCAGACGGUUCACCUCACAAGACCGGGGUCAACCACGGCUACCAGCAUGAACGACGGCGCUUCAGACCUUUGUAGCGAGGACCCGAUGCCAGGUCCAGUGGACAGACUUCAGACGUCUCUGUGUGUCCCGUCCUGUCCGGUCCUGUCUCUGGUUGCCUGGUUACAGACGCUGCUGCACCCGCACGUUUAAAAAUGUCUACACCUGAAACUCCACCACGUCUAAAGAAGCAAAAACGUUUGCAAAUGUACAGACUGGAGUAGGAAGAGUGGAACCCCUGGCAAUGGAUACAAGGCAAACUGUGUUUUCUGUUGCUCAUGGACUGGCUGAAGUAAGGCAGCAUCAGGAGACAAACAUGGAGGAAAUAUGAGAACAGAGAGAACCCAACCAGCAGGUCACAGUUUAUCAUCAUCUAAUCAUCUCCUGAAGUCCAUAUGGUCCCUCUCUAUCUCCCCACACAUCCACCAACCACUGGAACACAUCUCCAAAGUUCUGCCAGGCCAGCUCAGCUUCCCCUCAGAAGAAGUGGCGCCACCUGCCAGAUGAAGGAGCCUUUUGAGAGGCAGCUGGCAUCGUGAUUGGACUGUACUUUGGUCUGUUCCAAUCCAGCUUCAGCUCCAGAGACGGCAGGCGGGACGAGUCAACGGAGGCCUGGUGGACGAAGACUAAAGAACUACAGACUCUUCACAACCUGCUCAAACUCUUGGUACAGGACCUCACCACACGGGUCAAGAAGGUUUCUGUCUCAUUUCUACUCUGAAGCUCACCUUCUCCUGCUCAAACUGCUGACAAAUGUUUCUGC